UCCCAGUAAAGAAUCAUUCAUGUGUCUUGCUUCCUUUUCAAGUACUAGAGAUGAACUCACUGAGGCUGACUGAAACAAAAGAUGAAAACUUGUUCCAGGAGACUGUCUUAGAGAC
This is a small nucleolar RNA of Peromyscus maniculatus bairdii (prairie deer mouse), 115 nucleotides long. RefSeq annotates it as small nucleolar RNA SNORD22. Lineage: Eukaryota; Metazoa; Chordata; Mammalia; Rodentia; Cricetidae. The record is from RefSeq and is a predicted model, not a curated record.